Molecule: non-coding RNA, 78 nt
Organism: Aedes albopictus (Asian tiger mosquito)
Lineage: Eukaryota; Metazoa; Arthropoda; Insecta; Diptera; Culicidae
Source: Rfam
GGCUCGGUAGCUUAGUUAUAGUUGGUAAAGCACUUGUCUAGCGAAUAAGGGUCGUGAGUUCAAAUCUCACCUGAGCUG